This 305-nucleotide long non-coding RNA is filed under the name Elaeis guineensis (African oil palm). Its description in RNAcentral is "long non-coding RNA (EGUI_LNC024192)". Lineage: Eukaryota; Viridiplantae; Streptophyta; Magnoliopsida; Arecales; Arecaceae. The record is from RNAcentral.
AGAGUAAAUAAAGAACUCAUGACAAUUUAAAUAAAAAGCAUAAUCUUUAUUGCAUAUAAAGAAAUACAAGAAAGUUUAGAACAAUAAACCCGCUCUGUGUCGUUACAAAGUUUCUCCUCCACUCCCGAGACUGCUAGCCUAGCUGCUCAUGAAGUAGUCCCUUUCAUUUCCUCUAUGCAAGGCUCUAGAAGAAUUUCUGGGAUGAUCCUCAAAUAGAAGUACAAGAGCCUUUUUAUAGGUGUUAGGAGGGAGGAGUUUUACAUGAUUUUUCGAUAUGGGACUAAAGAAAAAAAUACUAAAGACCG